CCUACGGGAGGCAGCAGGGGGGAAUAUUGCGCAAUGGGCGAAAGCCUGACGCAGCGACGCCGCGUGAGGGAUGAAGGUCUUCGGAUCGUAAACCUCUGUCAGCAGGGAAGAACGGUCACUGUGCUAAUCAGCAGUGAAUUGACGGUACCUGCAAAGGAAGCACCGGGUAACUCCGUGCCAGCAGCCGCGGUAAUACGGGGGGGGCAAGCGUGAAUCGGAAUUACUGGGCGUAAAGCGCUCGUAGGCGGUAGGUCAAGUCAAGGGUGAAAUCCCCGUGCUCAACGUGGGAACUGCCUUUGAACCGGGCAAACUGAGGUGGGUGAAAGGAUGGUGGAAUUCCAGGUGUAGG
RNAcentral lists this ribosomal RNA (349 nucleotides) under uncultured bacterium. RNAcentral's name for it is "partial 16S ribosomal RNA". It matches the Rfam family "Bacterial small subunit ribosomal RNA", at positions 338 to 679 of the family's 1533-position model. The record is from RNAcentral.